RNAcentral lists this small RNA (28 nucleotides) under Bombyx mori (domestic silkworm). RNAcentral describes it as "ovarian small RNA-5167". The record is from RNAcentral. Lineage: Eukaryota; Metazoa; Arthropoda; Insecta; Lepidoptera; Bombycidae.
GAGGGCUCGUUGCUAUAGUGGGGGGCUG